CUCGGUGAUUGCCAUGUGGAUGAUGCGGCCGUCGUUCGGGUCGACGUGACGUUCGAUCAAUCCGAACUUUUCGAGU
This 76-nucleotide transfer RNA is filed under the name Microlunatus endophyticus. RNAcentral's name for it is "tRNA-Pro". Lineage: Bacteria; Bacillati; Actinomycetota; Actinomycetes; Propionibacteriales; Propionibacteriaceae. The record is from RNAcentral.